AUGAACGCUGGCGGCGUGCCUAAUACAUGCAAGUCGAGCGAACAGACGAGGAGCUUGCUCCUCUGGCGUUAGCGGCGGACGGGUGAGUAACACGUGGAUAACCUACCUAUAAGACUGGGAUAACUUCGGGAAACCGGAGCUAAUACCGGAUAAUAUAUUGAACCGCAUGGUUCAAUAGUGAAAGACGGUUUUGCUGUCACUUAUAGAUGGAUCCGCGCCGCAUUAGCUAGUUGGUAAGGUAACGGCUUACCAAGGCGACGAUGCGUAGCCGACCUGAGAGGGUGAUCGGCCACACUGGAACUGAGACACGGUCCAGACUCCUACGGGAGGCAGCAGUAGGGAAUCUUCCGCAGUGGGCGAAAGCCUGACGGAGCAACGCCGCGUGAGUGAUGAAGGUCUUCGGAUCGUAAAACUCUGUUAUUAGGGAAGAACAAAUGUGUAAGUAACUAUGCACGUCUUGACGGUACCUAAUCAGAAAGCCACGGCUAACUACGUG
Molecule: ribosomal RNA, 496 nt
Filed under: uncultured bacterium
Lineage: Bacteria
Description: partial 16S ribosomal RNA
Rfam family: Bacterial small subunit ribosomal RNA
Source: RNAcentral